RNAcentral lists this ribosomal RNA (424 nucleotides) under uncultured prokaryote. Its description in RNAcentral is "bacterial SSU rRNA". It matches the Rfam family "Bacterial small subunit ribosomal RNA", at positions 355 to 796 of the family's 1533-position model. The record is from RNAcentral.
UGGGGAAUCUUGGACAAUGGGGGCAACCCUGAUCCAGCGACGCCGCGUGGGUGAUGAAGGCCUUCGGGUUGUAAAGCCCUUUCACCGGGGACGAUGAUGACGGUACCCGGAGAAGAAGCACCGGCUAACUCCGUGCCAGCAGCCGCGGUAAGACGGAGGGUGCUAGCGUUGUUCGGAAUCACUGGGCGUAAAGGGCGCGUAGGCGGCUUUGGCAGUCGGAUGUGAAAGCCCGGGGCUCAACUCCGGAGGUGCAUCCGAUACUCCAAGGCUGGAGGCCGGAAGAGGAGGGUGGAAUACCCAGUGUAGAGGUGAAAUUCGUAGAUAUUGGGUGGAACACCGGUGGCGAAAGCGGCUCUCUGGUCCGGACCUGACGCUGAGGCGCGAAAGCGUGGGGAGCAAACAGGAUUAGAUACCCCCGUAGUCC